This is a long non-coding RNA of Cebus imitator (Panamanian white-faced capuchin), 302 nucleotides long. RefSeq lists it as uncharacterized. The transcript is spliced from 2 exons. NCBI's taxonomy places the organism in Eukaryota, Metazoa, Chordata, Mammalia, Primates, Cebidae. The record is from RefSeq and is a predicted model, not a curated record.
CCAGAAGAUCCCAGAGGACGCAAUUCUGGCUGUGCUGGGAAGUGCUAAAGUUCCCUUCAUAUGUCACUCUGGAGAAGGAGCAGCAAAGCAGCCAUGUUGAGUUCCUCUCUCAACAUUUGGCAUCAUGGACGAUGAGAUGGAGUCUUUUAUGUUGCUCAGCAAACUCCUGUGCUCAAGCAAUCUUCCCACCUCGGCCACUCAACGUAUCGGGAUUACAGGCAUGAACCACUGCACUCAGCCUUAUUUGGUGUCUUUUAAAAUAAAUAUUCUAAGAAUCAUGUAAAGAUACUUCACUGAUUCCA